Arachis stenosperma is the source of this 107-nucleotide small nucleolar RNA. The record is from RefSeq and is a predicted model, not a curated record. Lineage: Eukaryota; Viridiplantae; Streptophyta; Magnoliopsida; Fabales; Fabaceae.
AUCUGAUGGUGAGGUCAAGAGUCAAGCAACUUCUUAAAACAUUCCCAAUACUCAUAAAAUAUCACCUUAUCCCUUUGCAAGAUACUAGAAAUCUCAUUCCUUAAUCG